UGCGGGGGGAGCAAGCGUUGUUCGGAUUUACUGGGCGUAAAGGGCGCGUAGGCGGCCACGACAAGUCACUUGUGAAAUCUCCGGGCUUAACUCGGAACGGUCAAGUGAUACUGUCGGGCUAGAGUGCAGAAGGGGCAACUGGAAUUCUCGGUGUAGCGGUGAAAUGCGUAGAUAUCGAGAGGAACACCUGCGGCGAAGGCGGGUUGCUGGGCUGACACUGACGCUGAGGCGCGAAAGCCAGGGGAGCGAACGGG
Molecule: ribosomal RNA, 254 nt
Filed under: uncultured bacterium
Lineage: Bacteria
Description: partial 16S ribosomal RNA
Rfam family: Bacterial small subunit ribosomal RNA
Source: RNAcentral